UUUACAAAAUGUAGCAAAGUUUAUAAUCGAAAUAAUUAACAAGCUUACCAGUGUGCUGUAAUUGAUGAGUGCUUGUCCUAAAAGUGCUCCCUGAUACAUGAAUAAUGGUGUUGGUUAUAUAAGAAUAUAUAGACAAUAGGUGGGAUCUCCAUCAACUAUCUUUUAGUAUUCAAUUCAACGAGUCCAACCUGACACCCACCUUAAAAUUACAGUGUUAGACGAGUUGACAAGAUGGUUUAAGAGAUGGUUGAAUAAAAGAUGUCGACUAUAUAUAAACUCCUUUAGAAUGCAGAUAAGCUUCUCCUCCAAGCCAGUAGACCUUGCCUGAGAAACAAGUUACCUGGUAUUUCAAAAUGGGACAGAAAUAAGGUAAACAACCGCGGAGUUGAACUCGGGACGGAUAUUUAUUUAAACAUAUAAAUUUACAAGUAUCAUCAUUAACUUAAAAAGUUAUACAACCUCUGUACUAGACUUUUUAUCAUUAUAUAACUUAAUUCAUAUACAGAACACAAAUGAAAGUAGUUUAACAAGAAAACCUGGUAAAUGUAAAGAUAAUGUUCAACCCCCUUGACAACUGCCUGUAUAGAAUCCUCUUGUUUCUACUAGAGAUUUUAGCAGCACAAUAGAUUAAUUCUAUUCUCAAUAUUGACCAGAAAAUUACCCUGCUUUGAUUUUCUCUCCUGAUUCAUUGCAAACAAAUAGUGAAAGCAUUAAGAGUACCAAAUAUCUUUACGAGAACAGAAACUAUAGAGUGUUACAUCUGUGCCAUCAAUCAUUCUCAUUGUAGUAUUUGAAUGAACAGGUUGAGUUUAAAAUGAUACAUGUGUACCAUAGCUUACUAAAUAAAUAUUCCCUUUCAAACUUUUA
This is a long non-coding RNA of Patella vulgata (common limpet), 867 nucleotides long. RefSeq lists it as uncharacterized. The record is from RefSeq and is a predicted model, not a curated record. NCBI's taxonomy places the organism in Eukaryota, Metazoa, Mollusca, Gastropoda, Patellidae. The transcript is spliced from 3 exons.